RNAcentral lists this long non-coding RNA (207 nucleotides) under Gallus gallus (chicken). Lineage: Eukaryota; Metazoa; Chordata; Aves; Galliformes; Phasianidae. The record is from RNAcentral.
CUUGAGGAAGAUUGCGAUGGAUUCCGGAGCACAUCAAACAAAUGAAUAUUCCAAGUUUGUAAGAAGCCCACUCUGGAUCCGAUUCCCCGCAGUCGGCGCAGCGGCCGUUCCCGGCGACCUUCAGCAGCUCCAGCAGCAGCGUCUUGUUGCGGUCGCGGUCCAUCACCGCCGCGGAGCGCUGCGGGUGGAGCCCGGCCGGAGGCUCGG